RNAcentral lists this ribosomal RNA (432 nucleotides) under Listeria monocytogenes. RNAcentral describes it as "partial 23S ribosomal RNA". It matches the Rfam family "Bacterial large subunit ribosomal RNA", at positions 943 to 1375 of the family's 2925-position model. Lineage: Bacteria; Bacillati; Bacillota; Bacilli; Caryophanales; Listeriaceae. The record is from RNAcentral.
AUUCAGAUAAACUCCGAAUGCCAUGUACUUAUACUCGGGAGUCAGACUGCGAGUGAUAAGAUCCGUAGUCGAAAGGGAAACAGCCCAGACCACCAGUUAAGGUCCCCAAAUAUAUGUUAAGUGGAAAAGGAUGUGGGGUUGCUUAGACAACCAGGAUGUUGGCUUAGAAGCAGCCACCAUUGAAAGAGUGCGUAAUAGCUCACUGGUCGAGUGACCCCGCGCCGAAAAUGUACCGGGGCUAAACAUAUUACCGAAACUGUGGAUGAACCUCUUUAGAGGUUCGUGGUAGGAGAGCGUUCUAAGGGCGGUGAAGUCAGACCGGAAGGACUGGUGGAGCGCUUAGAAGUGAGAAUGCCGGUAUGAGUAGCGAAAGAAGGGUGAGAAUCCCUUCCACCGAAUAUCUAAGGUUUCCUGAGGAAGGCUCGUCCGCUC